Molecule: ribosomal RNA, 253 nt
Filed under: uncultured bacterium
Lineage: Bacteria
Description: partial 16S ribosomal RNA
Rfam family: Bacterial small subunit ribosomal RNA
Source: RNAcentral
UACGUAGGGGGCAAGCGUUGUCCGGAAUCAUUGGGCGUAAAGAGCGUGUAGGCGGCUCGGUAAGUCCGCUGUAAAAGUCCAGGGCUCAACCCUGGAAAGCCGGUGGAAACUGUCGAGCUAGAGUCCGGAAGAGGCGAGUGGAAUUCCGGGUGGAGCGGUGAAAUGCGUAGAGAUCCGGAAGAACACCGGUGGCGAAGGCGGUCCGCUGGGCCAAGACUGACGCUGAGGCGCGACAGCGUGGGGAGCAAACAGG